CGUAACGACUGUCAGCUAGAUUGAGCCGGUUAAUAGGCCCACUGACGAUACCUUAAUUACGUAACCUAGCAAUAAAUCGAUGAUUGAGACGACAGGCGUUCGCAAACUUUGAAUAAUCGCCAGAAUGGUGUGUGCAGUCCUCAGCAACCGGGAAAAUAGUGCAGUCCUCGGCAACCGGGAAAAGAGAGUCUGGGAGAUUCACCAGGAGGGAGUGAAAGCACAAUAGCUGUCAUAUGCUGUGCAUGUAAAUGUCACAGGAAACUUGAAGCAUUGAAGGAAGAAAAACUAAAACUUCAAAUAAAAUACUACAAAAGGAAGCUUGUUGAAGAGUAAAUGGAAGAUAUUUGUUGGAUUCGGUGGAGUAUCGAUUUUAUUUCACGAGUGAUCAUAUAAAAUAUCUUUUCACGAGUGGCACAGCCACGAGUGAAAAUAUGUAUUUUUUAUGAUCACGAGUGAAAUAAAAUCAAUAUUUCAUCCAAUCCAACAAAUUUUCUUUUUAUUUUAUGCUUUUUUGAUAUCUGGUUUUUUUUACAUUGCAAGAGUUUAACUGGAUAAUUUCGCUGGAUUUAUACCGUAAUUUGGUAGAAAAAAUAACGUCAAUUCACAGUACAACAGUGAAAAAUAUCGUUAUUUUUCACUUUAUUUUUCACUGUUUAAAACAAUGAAAUAUCAAUUUUAUUUUACUAAUAUAUUUCUCUAUAAACAACCGGAAAGCAUAAAAUAAAUAGAGAAUAUGUGUUUGCCAUGAGAUUUAUAGAGAAUAUUAUGCUACUGACUUGUGAUAGCUACUGACUUGUCAUAUGAAUGUUAUCUGUCAUUAAAAUAUGCUUUCAGCUCGCAAGAAGCAUACAGACAAUCUUGUAUUAAACGACCAUCUUCAAGACCUCCAAAAGGUGAUCUAUAAGACAGAUGGCAGCUUAAUACAGGAUGCUAGUCAUGUAGAAAGCUCCAAUAGGAGCUUACCGCAUGUUAAGCAUCCUGUGUUAAUAUGUCAACUAGUUUUACAGGCAUUCAUGCCAUGGUUUAGAGAGGUUGUAUAAAGUUUAAAACAAUAUUGACUGUAUUUUGCUGAAGGUGUGCUUUUGUGAUACUGAAGUUGCCAUAGUAUGUCAGUCUACAUGUCCUGGUGUAUAUCUGUCUGUCAAGUUUUGUUUACUCUAAUUGACACUUUUUUGCUUAUAUCAAAAUAAGGCCAGUACCAAAAUGAGAUUUUAUGACUUUUGCAAACUAAUCUAAAAAUCAUUGUGGAAUAAAGAGAAGUUGUUCAAAAUGAACAAUUUAGCUUUAUCCUCCAGUAAGUUUUUAUAUAGUUCCAUGAUGUUCAGAAUUUAGAAAUUAAUUUUCAAAGGGAUAUGGGAAAUUUAAUGCAAUUUACCUUUUUUUCAAAAAAAAGUAUUAACAAAGAAGUCCCUGUAUCUAAGUCCCAUUUGUGGGCCAUUUUCCAUGGGGUUUGGCUGGUUGGGUUCAGGCUGGUUAUCAUCAUUUUCCUCCAUUUCAACAUCUGGUAGAGAAAUAUUUUGCCUUUUGCAAAUAUUUUGCAAUACAGCACACGCUGUUAUAACCAUGAUCAUGAAAUAUUGGAAUAUGUUAACCUAUUACCAAACAAGACAAAAUUUAGACAAAUCUCAUUAUAAGCCUAAUUAUUAGUAAUCGAUAAAGGUAAAAGAUUUUGGUUUCAAUCGAGAAAAAUGCAGCCUUAUAAGCUGACACUUUUAAUCUACAUCAAUGAUAUGAUGUAUGGUUAUAAUUACAUAUUGUGAAUUUCAUAGGGCCUGAUUGUAGUUUUAUUAUUAGUCAAUAUGUCAGAAAGUUGCAUUGUACAAGGAGUUAUUUAAAUGUUCAAAGAUUUUGUUUACAAAAAUAAUUGUUUUUGAUAAUGGUACAAAUAAGUAAUACCGUAGGUGAAUUAUAAGGAAACUACCUGCAAGCUUUUCUGGUUUCAUACGGAUUUCUCCAUGCAAAAUACCAAAUCUCCUUUUCAGUUGCCCUAUGCCCCUUUCUACUUUUGCUCUAGUAAUUUUGUGUGCUCUAAAAUUAAGAAGUUCUGUAUUUUAAAGUUGAACAUUAAGCAUUUUCACUGUAUUUGAAUGUACUUUCUUUAAGCAAGUUAUUCUUUUGCUACAAUGUGACGAAUUUGUUAGAGAUGCAAUGACUGAGCUUGACAUUCUUCCUUGUAACACAAUUAAUUAGUUUGUUAUUGAAUAGAAUAACUUAAUUAUUAUACGCCCGUUUUUCAAAACGGGACGUAUUAUAAAAUCACCCUUUGCGGCGGCGACCAAAGCAGUAUCCGCUCUCUUCACCGAACUUGGUCAGAAGUUUCACUAGACGAUAUCUAGGUCAAGUUGGAAUAUGGGUCACGCUGGGUCAAAAACUAGGUCACAUGGUCAGUUAGUGCAUUUCAAGGAUUUAGCAUGGUGUCCACUAUCUAAUUGAAGUAGUAUAAAUCCCAUCUCCAACAAAUUUGGUCAGAAGUUGAAUCUAUAUGAUAUCUAGGUCAAGUUCCAAUAUGGUUUAUGCCGGGUCAAAAACUAGUUCACGAGGUCACUUAGUGCAUUUCAAGCAUGUAGCAUGGUGUCCACUAUCUAGUUGAAGUAGUUUUCAUCAGAUCUUCACCAAAUUUUGUCAGAAGUGGUGUCUAGCUGAUAUGUAGGUCAAGUUCAAAUAUGGGUCAUGGUAAAGCUAUCCAGUUGUCCAAAACCUUGUAAUGGGCGUAUCUUGUGACAGUUUGGCACUCUUGUUAUUUACUGUUAUGAAAUUUCAGAGUUAUAGGCUCAAGAUUUAUUUUCAUUAUGUUAUUAAAAGUUUUACACUUAAAAUGUGUGUGUCAUUCUCUUUAUGGGCAACAUUAAUGUGAUAUCCUAUACAUGGCAAUAUAAAUAUAUAAUUACCUGAAGUACCGGGUUUGUUGUCCUGCUUGAGGGUUUGCGUAUGGGGUAAGCAGCCAUCUUCGAGAGGGAUAACCACUAUCUCCAAGUAGGUGAUACCCGACAGGGAUGAUUCCCUCUUCAAACAGCUGUCUAACCCCACUAUUUUGUAAAAUCCGGCUAUCAUGUGAGGAUCCUGGCUACCUCGCAACAACAUCUAUGAUUGCGUCAAAAGCAUCAAAUACAAG
This is a long non-coding RNA of Dreissena polymorpha, 3112 nucleotides long. RefSeq lists it as uncharacterized. The record is from RefSeq and is a predicted model, not a curated record. Lineage: Eukaryota; Metazoa; Mollusca; Bivalvia; Myida; Dreissenidae. The transcript has 3 exons.